CAGCCGCCGCGGUAAUACGUAGGGUGCAAGCGUUAAUCGGAAUUACUGGGCGUAAAGCGUGCGCAGGCGGCUUGUUAAGACAGAUGUGAAAUCCCCGGGCUCAACUUGGGAACUGCAUUUGUGACUGGCAAGCUAGAGUCUGGCAGAGGGGGGUGGAAUUCCGCGUGUAGCAGUGAAAUGCGUAGAUAUGCGGAGGAACUCCGAUGGCGAAGGCAGCCCCCUGGGCCAACACUGACGCUCAUGCACGAAAGCGUGGGGAGCAAACAGGAUUAGAUACCCCCGUAGUCCCUGUCUCUUAUAC
RNAcentral lists this ribosomal RNA (301 nucleotides) under uncultured bacterium. Its description in RNAcentral is "partial 16S ribosomal RNA". It matches the Rfam family "Bacterial small subunit ribosomal RNA", at positions 509 to 807 of the family's 1533-position model. The record is from RNAcentral.